ACCUUAUCGCGAUGACGUCACAAAAGGGGCAGUCCCUUAGCGACGGUGAAAACAAUGCCCUAGAUACGGUCGAUUUACUACGCUGAUUGAGCACCUCUGCUGAUAUUUCGUCAAUUGCAUUCCUAUUGGGAAGUCGAUAGUUCUGGCUACCAUAACCACUGUCUAUCAUCAACACCGGAAAAAGAUAACCAGAGAAGGGAGAAUAAACAAAACAACCGAGGUAGUGCUAGUGAAAAGAAAGAACACUGUCUUUCAUCACCACCGGAAAUAGAUGACCAGCGAAGCGAAAACAAAACAACCAUGGAGAGCAAAAUGGAUGAGUCGCUGGAUGUUUCUGGCUUUGAAGAGAGCUAUCAAGAGAUCAAUUGGAAAAUCAAAUGCUCCAAGAAAACAACGUUUUUUUACGCAGGGGUUACGUUAAAGUCGACUUGCGUGUAAUUCAUUUGGGGAGCACGUGCAUUAGCCAGCAACAAAGACGCAUUGGUAAUAUUGCAACGCCAAGCAGUCUGUUAUCAUAUAAAGAUUUAAGAAUAAAUAAAGAUGUCGUUAUUAUCCCAAGAAUGAUGAACUUAAACGUUAUUUUGUUUUAGUUAAAUUUAUAUAUUUCUUAAAUUAAAUUGCAAUGACAAACUUUCUGCUAUCAAUCGAUAAUUUAAGAAUGAA
Molecule: long non-coding RNA, 663 nt
Organism: Dreissena polymorpha
Lineage: Eukaryota; Metazoa; Mollusca; Bivalvia; Myida; Dreissenidae
Exons: 4
Source: RefSeq, a predicted model, not a curated record